UAAAAAGCUCGUAGUUGGAUCUGUGUAUCGGACGGUCGGUUCGCCGCUCGCGGCGUUUAACUGACCGGUCCGGACGUCCUGCCGGUGGGCGGCUCGGCCCUUCGCGGGGCCGGUCGCCCGUUAACCUUCCCUCCGGGCUGCUCUUAACCGAGUGGCGCGGUGGGCCGGCACGUUUACUUUGAACAAAUUUGAGUGCUCAAAGCAGGCCUCGAGUCGCCUGAAAACUGUGUGCAUGGAAUAAUGGAAUAGGGCCUCUUCUCUAUUUUGUUGGCUUUUCUGAGAUAGAGGUAAUGAUUAAUAGGGACAGACGGGGGCAUUCGUAUUGCGACGUUAGAGGUGAAAUUCUUGGAUCGUCGCAAGACGGACGGAUGCGAAAGCGUUUGCCAAGAAUGUUUUCGCUAAUCAAGAACGAAAGUUAGAGGUUCGAAGGCGAUCAGAUACCGCCCUAGUUCUAACCAUAAACGAUGCCAGCCAGCGAUGCGCCGACGUUCCUCCGAUGACUCGGCGCGCAGCUUCCGGGAAACCAAAGCUUUUGGGUUCCGGGG
Molecule: ribosomal RNA, 545 nt
Filed under: Drunella trispina
Lineage: Eukaryota; Metazoa; Arthropoda; Insecta; Ephemeroptera; Ephemerellidae
Description: SSU rRNA
Rfam family: Eukaryotic small subunit ribosomal RNA
Source: RNAcentral